UACGUAGGGAGCAAGCGUUGUCCGGAUUUACUGGGUGUAAAGGGCGUGUAGGCGGGAUUGCAAGUCAGAUGUGAAAUUCCGGGGCUCAACCCCGGAACUGCAUUUGAAACUGUAGUUCUUGAGUACUGGAGAGGCAGGCGGAAUUCCUAGUGUAGCGGUGAAAUGCGUAGAUAUUAGAAGGAACACCAGUGGCGAAGGCGGUUUGCUGGGCCAUUACUGACGCUCAUGCACGAAAGCGUGGGGAGCAAAUAGG
This 253-nucleotide ribosomal RNA is filed under the name uncultured bacterium. RNAcentral describes it as "partial 16S ribosomal RNA". It matches the Rfam family "Bacterial small subunit ribosomal RNA", at positions 524 to 776 of the family's 1533-position model. The record is from RNAcentral.